Drosophila biarmipes is the source of this 697-nucleotide long non-coding RNA. RefSeq lists it as uncharacterized. Lineage: Eukaryota; Metazoa; Arthropoda; Insecta; Diptera; Drosophilidae. The record is from RefSeq and is a predicted model, not a curated record. The transcript has 3 exons.
GGUUAUAUUCAAAAUUUGAUUCGGAUAAUAAUGUCAAGAUUAGCAGAUUAACGUUCAAAUACCCUUCAUCAUUAAAAGUUUGUAUUUAUCCUGCCUCAAAGAUUUCACGCAUGCCUCGAAUGGCGGGCGUUUUGUUUUGGGAAUGUCUGCGAUAAGGAUGCAUUAUGGCUUUGGGAUGGCCGAGAAAGGAUGUCUUGCUUUCCUCGUUUUGCUGGGACUGGAUUAGGAAAACUACUGGCUAUUGCAAAGCAAAUUGUUCGCAGAUAUUAUAAAAGGAAUUAGGGGAUAAUGCGAGCCAAUUGUUUCAGGUGCUACUUGUGUGGCUUCGUGGGACGGCUUCAUCAGUUCGGGUUACCCAAUUUCCCGAUAGCCGAAACAAGGGGAAACCGAGACCUAUUGACCGUCGGCCAAUUUCACGUUAAUAAUACCCGUAAAACGAGCCAAUCCCCUAAUGAAGCCGUCUGGUCCCAGUCCACCUGCUCCUUAGCCGCUUCUAACUGUGAUUCUGCAAAACAGGAGGGAAUAACUAAGCCGUGACCGGGAUGACCAGAUAGAACCGCAUUGUUUCUGGAUGAACGCGUGUGGUCGAGCCGACGGGUCGGCCCUCAGACAAAAGAAAAGCAAACAGGCCAACAGACAAUAAAUAAACAAUAGAUCUGUUUAAGGACUGCUACCUCAUGUUGCUCGGCACUACCCC